RNAcentral lists this ribosomal RNA (521 nucleotides) under uncultured bacterium. RNAcentral describes it as "bacterial SSU rRNA". It matches the Rfam family "Bacterial small subunit ribosomal RNA", at positions 988 to 1509 of the family's 1533-position model. The record is from RNAcentral.
CCAGAGAACUUAGCAGAGAUGCUUUGGUGCCUUCGGGAACUCUGAGACAGGUGCUGCAUGGCUGUCGUCAGCUCGUGUUGUGAAAUGUUGGGUUAAGUCCCGCAACGAGCGCAACCCUUAUCCUUUGUUGCCAGCGGCUCGGCCGGGAACUCAAAGGAGACUGCCGGUGAUAAACCGGAGGAAGGUGGGGAUGACGUCAAGUCAUCAUGGCCCUUACGGCCAGGGCUACACACGUGCUACAAUGGCGCAUACAAAGAGAAGCGACCUCGCGAGAGCAAGCGGACCUCACAAAGUGCGUCGUAGUCCGGAUUGGAGUCUGCAACUCGACUCCAUGAAGUCGGAAUCGCUAGUAAUCGUAGAUCAGAAUGCUACGGUGAAUACGUUCCCGGGCCUUGUACACACCGCCCGUCACACCAUGGGAGUGGGUUGCAAAAGAAGUAGGUAGCUUAACCUUCGGGAGGGCGCUUACCACUUUGCGAUUCAUGACUGGGGUGAAGUCGUAACAAGGUAGGCGUAGCGAG